UACGGAAGGGGCGAGCGUUGUUCGGAAUCAUUGGGCGUAAAGGGCGCGUAGGCGGCUGUUCAAGUCGGGGGUGAAAUCCCGUGGCUCAACCACGGAAUGGCCUUCGAUACUGGACGGCUGGAGACCGGAAGAGGUGAGUGGAACUGCGAGUGUAGAGGUGAAAUUCGUAGAUAUUCGCAAGAACACCAGUGGCGAAGGCGGCUCACUGGCCCGGUACUGACGCUGAGGCACGAAAGCGUGGGGAGCAAACAGG
RNAcentral lists this ribosomal RNA (253 nucleotides) under uncultured bacterium. RNAcentral describes it as "partial 16S ribosomal RNA". It matches the Rfam family "Bacterial small subunit ribosomal RNA", at positions 524 to 776 of the family's 1533-position model. The record is from RNAcentral.